GAAAGUAAGUAAGGGCGUAUGGGGGAUGCCUAGGCUCUUGGAGGCUAAGAAGGACGUGGUAAGCUGCGAAAAGCUGCGGGGAUUUGCAAACGAGACUCGAUCCGCAGAUAUCCGAAUGGGACAACCCGGCAGGUAGAAGACCUGUCACACCGCGAGGUGAGCUAACCCUCUGAACUGAAACAUCUAAGUAGGAGGAGGAAAAGAAAGAAACAUCGAUUUCCAAAGUAGCGGCGAGCGAAAUGGAAGAAGCCCAAACCGAUAUUGUUACGGCAAUAUCGGGGUUGUAGGACUGCAAUAUUCAAUUAACAAUGAACUGGAAUGGUCUGGAAAGUCCAUCCAUAGAGAGUGAAAGGCUCGUACAGGUAAGUUUGUUAUGCGAAAGCAGUAUCCUGAGUAUGGCGGGACACGAGGAAUCCUGUCAGAAUCAGCCGGGACCACCCGGUAAGGCUAAAUACUCCCAAGAGACCGAUAGUGGACCAGUACUGUGAAGGAAAGGUGAAAAGAACCCCGAACAGGGGAGUGAAAUAGAACCUGAAACCAUACGCUUACAACCGGUCGGAGCAGCUUCGUGCUGUGACGGCGUGCCUAUUGAAUAAUGAGCCUACGAGUUACUAAUCACUAGCGAGGUUAAGUGCAAGGAUGCACGGAGCCGAAGCGAAAGCGAGUCUGAACAGGGCGUUUAGUUAGUGGUUGUAGACGCGAAACCUUGCGAUCUACCCUUGAGCAGGUUGAAGGUUGGGUAAAACCAACUGGAGGACCGAACGAAUAAGCGUUGAAAAGCUUCUCGAUGACUUGAGGGUAGGGGUGAAAGGCUAAUCAAGCUGGGAAAUAGCUCGUACUCCCCGAAAUGCCUUUUGGGGCAGCGUUGUAAUAAAGAGUCUACUGGAGGUAGAGCUACUGAUUGGAUGCGGGGGCUUCACCGCCUACCAAAUCCUGACAAACUCCGAAUGCCAGUAGUAUGAUUUACAGCAGUGAGUGACUGGGUGCUAAUGUCCAGUCGCAAAAGAGGAACAACUCAGACCAGCAACUAAGGUCCCGAAGAAUAUGCUAAGUUGAUCUAACGAUGUUUUGUUGCAGAGACAGCUAGGAUGUUAGCUUGGAAGCAGCUAUUCAUUCAAAGAGUGCGUAACAGCUCACUAGUCGAGCGACAGAGCGUGGAUAAUAAACGGGCAUCAAGCAUAUCACCGAAGUUCUGGGCGCGAGAGCGCGGUAGGGGAGCAUUCCAUUCAGCGUCGAAGCAGUUUCGUGAGGAAUUGUGGAGCGUAUGGAAAAGCAAAUGUAGGCAUGAGUAACGAUAAUGCGGGAGAGUAACCCGCACACCGCAAGACCAAGGUUUCCUGAUCAACGCUAAUCGGAUCAGGGUUAGUCGGGUCCUAAGGGUAAGCCGAACGGCGAUCUCGAUGGAUAAUCGGUUAAUAUUCCGAUACUAACAUAUACCUCGAUGGAGAGACGAAGGAACGUAAGUGCCGCCACCUGACGGAAUAGGUGGUUAAAGGGCGUAGGUAUAGGGGCAGAUUAAGAGUUAGUCCUUGCUGAAACCUGACAGUACAGAGAGCCUACGGGCAAUUUGAUAGAGCACCCAAGUCGACUUCCGAGAAAAUCUUCUAAGUUAUAGUAUAUGUUACCCGUACCGUAAACCGACACAGGUGGUCGAGGAGAGUAUCCUAAGGUGCUCGAGUGAAUCACGGUUAAGGAACUAGGCAAAUUAACCCCGUAACUUCGGGAAAAGGGGUCCCUAUGAAAGUAGGGCGCAGCGAAGAGGUCCAGGCGACUGUUUAUCAAAAACACAGGGCUCUGCAAAUUCGAAAGAAGACGUAUAGGGCCUGACACCUGCCCGGUGCUGGAAGGUUAAGAGGGGAUGUCAUCGCAAGAGAAGCAUUGAAUCGAAGCCCCAGUAAACGGCGGCCGUAACUAUAACGGUCCUAAGGUAGCGAAAUUCCUUGUCGGGUAAGUUCCGACCUGCACGAAUGGUGUAACGAUCUGGACACUGUCUCAACCGUGAGCUCGGUGAAAUUGUAGUCCCGGUGAUGAUGCCGGGUACCCGCAACGGGACGAA
RNAcentral lists this ribosomal RNA (2056 nucleotides) under gut metagenome. RNAcentral's name for it is "bacterial LSU rRNA". It matches the Rfam family "Bacterial large subunit ribosomal RNA", at positions 1 to 2084 of the family's 2925-position model. The record is from RNAcentral.